CCGCAAUGGACGAAAGUCUGACGGAGCAACGCCGCGUGAGUGAUGAAGGCUUUCGGGUCGUAAAACUCUGUUGUUAGGGAAGAACAAGUGCUAGUUGAAUAAGCUGGCACCUUGACGGUACCUAACCAGAAAGCCACGGCUAACUACGUGCCAGCAGCCGCGGUAAUACGUAGGUGGCAAGCGUUAUCCGGAAUUAUUGGGCGUAAAGCGCGCGCAGGUGGUUUCUUAAGUCUGAUGUGAAAGCCCACGGCUCAACCGUGGAGGGUCAUUGGAAACUGGGAGACUUGAGUGCAGAAGAGGAAAGUGGAAUUCCAUGUGUAGCGGUGAAAUGCGUAGAGAUAUGGAGGAACACCAGUGGCGAAGGCGACUUUCUGGUCUGUAACUGACACUGAGGCGCGAAAGCGUGGGGAGCAAACAGGAUUAGAUACCCUGGUAGUCCACGCCGUUAACGAUGAGUGCUAAGUGUUAGAGGGUUUCCGCCCUUUAGUGCUGA
Molecule: ribosomal RNA, 493 nt
Filed under: Bacillus cereus
Lineage: Bacteria; Bacillati; Bacillota; Bacilli; Caryophanales; Bacillaceae
Description: bacterial SSU rRNA
Rfam family: Bacterial small subunit ribosomal RNA
Source: RNAcentral